UUUGAAGUUGAUGCAUCUUCAAUCAAAUAAUAUCAAUAGAAAAGUUUUUUGUCACAGUAUUGGCACCAUUUCUGGAGACAGAAAGAGGCAAAUCAUGCAAACACUUACAUGAUAAUUAUAUUCCUCGUGUUCAUCUUAUAACUACGAGGAUUAAUGAAAGUAAUCAGUACAACCUUUUGUUGGCCAAAUGUGGAGCAGGUUUACAAGUUCCAAAAAGAUCCAGCUGUGCAAUCACAUGCUGAUUUAAUUUGGCCAUUGCUCAUCUUGUCUCCUCCCAUGGUUGUUUUCCUAUAAAUACCAACUCUCAAAAUUAAAUUCCAUCAAAACUUUGCGAAAUCCCCUAAUCUGAAAGAAAACCAUAAGAAAUGGCUUCACUUUAUUCAAAACCCAAUCACGUCCGAUCAAUCAGUUUGCCUGGGAGAUCACACCCUACCAUCCAGAGAGUUGAAGAGGAGCUAAACAAGCUCAAAUCAUUGGAAGUAUCUGUUGCACCAACAACAGUGAGCAAUGGUCUAAAAGGUUUGGAGAAAUUGUACAAGUGCAUAGAUGAUCUUCUCAACUUGCCUCAAAACCUUCAUGCCCUCUCCCAAAAUCUACAUGCAAAAUGGGUUGAAGAUCUAUUGGAUAAAUCAAUGAGGCUUCUUGAUCUGUGUGGCACUGCAAGGGAACUUGUAUCACAAUGCAAAGAAAAUGUAAGAGACCUCCAAUCCUCCCUCAAGAGGAGAAAAGGAGAUUCAACCAGAGAUGACAACGUUACCAGAUUUAACUCUUUCAGCAAGAAGAUCAAGAGGAAUGCCAAAAGAUUAGUAUUGACCUUGAAACAAAUAGAUCAAGACACUACAGUAUCUGUUUUGCUAGAUGCAGAUCAAGAUACAAUAGCUGUGAUCAGAGCACUAAAAGAAGCUAAUGCAGAAUGCAUUUCAACUUUCCAAAUGCUCUUGUCCUUCUUGUGUGUACCACUUUUGAAGCCCAAGGAAUCUAUAUGGUCACUGCUUUCUAGAUUGGUAAACAAAGAAAGAAUAGCAUCACUUGUCAUAGAAGAAAACAUGAGCUUAGAAACCAGGCUCGAAAGCUUUGAGACUUAUCUUGUCAGCUUCGAAGAUGGAUUGGAAGCAACAUUUAGAUGCCUGAUUAGAUCUAGAAGCUCGCUACUCAAUGUUUUCUCCUGCUAAUCUGGCAGUUGUUAUUCUAUACACUGUAAAUUAUAUAUACACAUUUUUGUAGUUAUGUUAGAAAUAUACAAUCUUCAAGCGAUUGAUUAUACAUCAAUGUCAUGUCUCUUUCUCUCUAUAUGUAUUAUAUAUGGAGCGUACAUGAAUACUGCCAUAAACUGUGCAGUAGGACUAUAAUUCAAAUACCUGAAUGGAGUCCAAAUUUUAACAGGUUAUGCCUAUGACUUUCAGCAUUGUCUAAAUCUUAUGUCAGGUUAAGUUUUAUCCUGAAAAUAACUCAAAAUAUCAUUGAAAUGAUUCUCCUUAAACUAGAGGAGAAGCAGAUAAAACUAAUAGCAGAUCCUUUACAUACUUCCAUUGCAUAAUUAUUGAAAUGAUCAAACCAAGGAGCGAAAGAGAAAAUUCUAUGACUCCUGAACCAAUAUUAAAGUGUAAGAAGCCACUUAUCUACAUUUGGAAAAAAGUACUUCUUCCUUAUUCUUCUUAUCCAUCAUUCUUACACAACUAUAAUUUAUUAGAUAAAACUGUGAAUGAUAUCUUUUUCUAUUUGGUUCAUAAUCAACUAGCUAUGGGGCCACCACAGGUUUUCUGAAUUUGUUCUUACAAUUAUUGGAAGUAUUAGACCUAAAUCCUAAUCAAGAAGGUUUCUUAAAACUGUAGACAAAAUUCUUUUUGGACAGAGCAGGUUCGUGAAGGUAAACGGUAAGCAAAAGUUUUUAAUUCUUGUUUGUGAAUGUAAGUAGAAGCGGAUGAUUUAAUAAAAAUCUUUAAGUUUCCACAUAUGAGAUACAUUAUAAUAGUUCUACAUGUGAGAUAACACUCAAUUUUUGAUGUAUUACAUUUUCUUAGUGCCAACAGUAGACUGCAUUUUGAGAGUUGACUUCAAACAUUAAAAAGAACUUGAAAUGCAUAACUUGAUAGCUAGUCGUAUUAUGUUUAUCCGCUAACUUGAUCACGCUAUUUCAUUUUUUGACUGGAUCAUCACAUUUACCUAUUUAUACUACAGUAUAAACUAUUUACCACGUAGAGAGGUUAUAAAUUAAUUACAUUAUCAUAUUUAUAUACAAAAUAAUGUAUUAGAAUCUUACCCAUUUUCUCUCCUUCUUCUUCUUCUUCUUUCUCCAAAUUCAAACCUCUUCAAAUUCAUUGACGAUCCAUAAAAUUCUUUCACCAUCAACUCUGCACCAGUCAGUUUCACUCAGCAUCUAAUUUCUCUAAAAAAACAUAGCAAUAACAAAAAAUAAAAAGCAACAAAGUUUGAAGGAAAAGAAUGAAUGAACAGACCUGCGAAAGAAAUAAACCUCUUAACGGAUUGAAAGGACUCUGGUAAACCCACCGAUGUUAUAGAGAAGAAUUUGACAACUAAUAAAAAUCUUCGUUGACAGCCACUAAAUAUUUUGAGAGAAUUUGGUGAAGAUCCGGUUGGUUUUUGUUGGAAUUUCAGAC
This 2618-nucleotide long non-coding RNA is filed under the name Nicotiana tabacum (common tobacco). RNAcentral's name for it is "long non-coding RNA (NTAB_LNC005612)". Lineage: Eukaryota; Viridiplantae; Streptophyta; Magnoliopsida; Solanales; Solanaceae. The record is from RNAcentral.